UGGGGAAUUUUGGACAAUGGGGGAACCCUGAUCCAGCCAUCCCGCGUGUGCGAUGAAGGCCUUCGGGUUGUAAAGCACUUUUGGCAGGAAAGAAACGUCGCGGGUUAAUACCCCGCGAAACUGACGGUACCUGCAGAAUAAGCACCGGCUAACUACGUGCCAGCAGCCGCGGUAAUACGUAGGGUGCAAGCGUUAAUCGGAAUUACUGGGCGUAAAGCGUGCGCAGGCGGUUCGGAAAGAAAGAUGUGAAAUCCCAGAGCUUAACUUUUGGAACUGCAUUUUUAACUACCGGGCUGAGUGUGUCAGAGGAGGUGGAAUUCCGCGUGUAGCAGUGAAAUGCGUAGAUAUGCGGAGGAACACCCGAUGGCGAAGGCAGCCUCCUGGGAUAACACUGACGCUCAUGCACGAAAGCGUGGGGGAGCAAACAGGAUUAGAUA
This 437-nucleotide ribosomal RNA is filed under the name uncultured bacterium. RNAcentral's name for it is "partial 16S ribosomal RNA". It matches the Rfam family "Bacterial small subunit ribosomal RNA", at positions 355 to 784 of the family's 1533-position model. The record is from RNAcentral.